UACGUAGGGUGCGAGCGUUGUCCGGAAUUACUGGGCGUAAAGAGUUCGUAGGCGGUUUGUCGCGUCGUUCGUGAAAACUUGGGGCUUAACUCCAAGCGUGCGGGCGAUACGGGCAGACUUGAGUACUACAGGGGAGACUGGAAUUCCUGGUGUAGCGGUGAAAUGCGCAGAUAUCAGGAGGAACACCGGUGGCGAAGGCGGGUCUCUGGGCCUGUACUGACGCUGAGGAGCGAAAGCGUGGGGAGCGAACAGG
Molecule: ribosomal RNA, 253 nt
Filed under: uncultured bacterium
Lineage: Bacteria
Description: partial 16S ribosomal RNA
Rfam family: Bacterial small subunit ribosomal RNA
Source: RNAcentral